RNAcentral lists this small RNA (410 nucleotides) under Pongo abelii (Sumatran orangutan). Its description in RNAcentral is "retained intron". Lineage: Eukaryota; Metazoa; Chordata; Mammalia; Primates; Hominidae. The record is from RNAcentral.
UCGCCUCCCCUCCUGCCACUCAGAUCUCCCGACUCUGGCUCACAAAGUGGGUUCUUCUCUCAUCCCAUAUCUCCUUGGUUCCGUAGAACUCUGAGACGUCUCCUGGGAUGUUUAACUUUGACACUUUCUGGAAGAAUUUUAAAUCCAAGCUGGGUUUCAUUAACUGGGAUGCCAUAAACAAGAACCAGGUCCCGCCCCCCAGCACCCGAGCCCUCCUCUACUUCAGCCGACUCUGGGAGGAUUUCAAACAGAACACUCCUUUCCUCAACUGGAAAGCAAUUAUUGAGGGUGCAGACGCAUCAUCACUGCAGAAACGUGCAGGCAGAGCCGAUCAGGUGAGUCUCUGUCCUCAGGUUCCCCUGCAGGGCCCUUGGUCCCCCUUGGCCUUGCUCCCGGGUCUGGGCAAUCUG